Molecule: ribosomal RNA, 1858 nt
Filed under: uncultured Bacteroidetes bacterium 'SBI2-18 P41A3'
Lineage: Bacteria; Pseudomonadati; Bacteroidota
Description: bacterial LSU rRNA
Rfam family: Bacterial large subunit ribosomal RNA
Source: RNAcentral
AAGUUACGAUAGGCUAAUUAAGGGCGUAUGGGGAAUGCCUAGGCUCUCAGAGGCGAUGAAGGACGUGAUAAGCUGCGAAAAGUUACGGGGAAUGGCACACACAUUUUGAUCCGUAAAUAUCCGAAUAGGGCAACCUGAUUAUUUGAAGAAUAAUCAUCCAUCUUGUAUGGAAGCAAACCCGGAGAACUGAAACAUCUAAGUACCCGGAGGAAGAGAAAACAAUAGUGAUUCCGCUAGUAGUGGCGAGCGAACGCGGAAUAGCCCAAACCUAAAUUGUUACGGCAAUUUAGGGGUUGUAGGACCACAAUAUUUGUUGCUCGAUGAAUUAGAAUCUGUUGGAAAGCAGAACCAGAGAGGGUGAUAGUCCCGUAUAAGUAAAGAAAGUUAACAAUAGUGGUAUCCUGAGUAGUACGGGGCACGGGAAACCUUGUAUGAAUCCGGCGGGACCAUCCGCCAAGGCUAAAUACUCCUGAGAGACCGAUAGUGAACUAGUACCGUGAGGGAAAGGUGAAAAGAACCCUGAAUAAGGGAGUGAAAUAGAUCCUGAAACCAUACGCUUACAAGCGGUCGGAGCCCUUUGGGGUGACGGCGUGCCUUUUGCAUAAUGAGCCUACGAGUUAACGUUGCUAGCAAGGUUAAGUACUUAAGGUACGAAGCCGUAGCGAAAGCGAGUCUGAAUAGGGCGACUCAGUUAGCAGUGUUAGACGCGAAACCGUGUGAUCUACCCAUGGGCAGGUUGAAGCUGUAGUAACAUACAGUGGAGGACCGAACCCGUUGACGUUGAAAAGUCUUGGGAUGACCUGUGGGUAGGGGUGAAAGGCCAAUCAAACUCGGAAAUAGCUCGUACUCCCCGAAAUGCAUUUAGGUGCAGCGUUGUAUUAGUUUCAUAGAGGUAGAGCUACUGAUUGGAUGCGGGGCCUUCACCGGCUACCAAUUCCUGACAAACUCCGAAUGCUAUGAAAUGAUGUACAGCAGUGAGGGCAUGGGUGCUAAGGUCCAUGUCCGAGAGGGAAAGAACCCAGACCAUCAGCUAAGGUCCCAAAGUGUAUGCUAAGUUGAAUAAACGAGGUUUGACUGCCCAGACAGCUAGGAUGUUGGCUUGGAAGCAGCCAUUCAUUUAAAGAGUGCGUAACAGCUCACUAGUCGAGCGGUCGAGCAUGGAUAAUAAUCGGGCAUAAGCAUAUCACCGAAGCUAUGGCAUCGAAAGAUGGGUAGGGGAGCAUUGUAGCGACGUUGAAGGUAAACUGUAAGGUUUGCUGGAGUUUCUACAAAAGAAAAUGUAGGCAUAAGUAACGACAAUGCGGGCGAGAAACCCGCACACCGAAAGACUAAGGUUUCCUCAGCUAUGCUAAUCAGCUGAGGGUUAGUCGGGACCUAACGCGAACCCGAAAGGGGUAGUGGAUGGACAACAGGUUAAUAUUCCUGUACCUGCUCUCAUUAAAAGUGACGGAUUGCCCAGAUAUCUACGUGGUGACGGAAGUCCACGUUGAGCAUAGCCUUCGGGCGAAGCGAAGAUAAGUAAGCAGUUCCUAGAAAAGCGAGAGAAGCAGCCCGUACCGCAAACCGACACAGGUAGUUGGGAUGAGUAUUCUAAGGUGCUCGAGAGAUUCAUGGCUAAGGAACUAGGCAAAAUCGACCCGUAACUUCGGGAGAAGGGUCGCCACGUUUCGACGUGGCCGCAGUGAAAAGAUCCAGGCGACUGUUUAUCAAAAACACAGGACUCUGCUAAAUCGAAAGAUGACGUAUAGGGUCUGACACCUGCCCGGUGCCGGAAGGUUAAGUGGAGUUGUUAGCUUCGGCGAAGCAAUCAAAUGAAGCCCCGGUAAACGGCGGCCGUAACUAUAACGGUCCUAAGGUA